This 1613-nucleotide long non-coding RNA is filed under the name Mus musculus (house mouse). Its description in RNAcentral is "long non-coding RNA chr2:13012623-13014236". The record is from RNAcentral. Lineage: Eukaryota; Metazoa; Chordata; Mammalia; Rodentia; Muridae.
AGAAACCACUUGAAUUUAGAAUACUAAUAGAGGGGCCCCAGAGUGAGUAUUAGGGGAGUUACCCCACUGGCAAAUACAUUUGACAUAUAAGAAGGGUUUAAAUAAGUAAGUAGAAUUGGUUUCCUAAAUCACACUUUUGCAUUCAGGAGCAAUAGAUGUCAAUCAAACGUGGAUGACAUUUACUUGUCAAUACGGAACGAUGGCUGGGAAGACAGUUACUUAUUACAACGGGGUGAGAAUCUGAAAUAAGGAGCAGGAACAAAUAAUAAUAUAACAAGCAAGUAGUACAUGCUAGGUAACUAUCAGCAGACUCUGGUCUUGCCUGUAGGCUCCACAGCAAGGUAUCUCCUUCAAGAUUCCACAGCCCCUCUGCACUGUGCCCCAUCCCAACAGUUAAGUUCCUUCUCUGAUUCAAAGCAAAGUCAAGUGGGCAGACAUAGAAACCUUCAUUGGCUUCCUGGAGAGGAAUGUCAGCAACUGAGAGAGAGUCAACACUAAGGAAGUGGGGCUCUAGCCACUGGUAAUGAGGAAUGACCCCUCCGUCCCUCAAAACCUUAGCUUUUGUUUUAGGAUACAUUUGACACAUAUAUUCUGUACAGUUUUGCUCAUGUGAACUACCUGGUUUCUGUAUUUUUCCCCCCACUGGCUAGCAUGGAGAACAAACAUUCCAGAUCAUAAUAUCAACACCUACCUUUCUAACACCUUCUGAGUUAUUUCUCAGAGAACUUUCUCUGAGGUGAGAAAAUGGUAAGCUUGUGAUGUCCAUAAUGGAAGGAAAUAUACUAAUGCAACAGAACCUUCUAUCCUGUUCCUGGAUAUCUCAGUCCACGGAGCCUUUUCAUUACUAAGAAGAGUUUGGUAGAAGGGGGUGAAAAGGUUUUUGUUUAAUAGCAAUAAAUAAAUGCUCAUCAAAAGCCCAGAACACAAAGAGUUUUCCUAUGAAAGAUGCGUAUUUUAUGAGUGAACCCAUCAAUGCAAAUGUGAAAUAUUAGAGUCAAGACAACCCUGAGAAAUUAGUUUUCACCUUGCUCAUACAGGCAGGAAGAACCAGAGCUGUGCAGAGAAUCAGGGCCAUUGGUGACCCUGCUGGGAUAAGCUCUACAAAAUAUUAAUGCACCAAGCCCCACCUGAGAGGAGUAAUAAGAUGGGGGCUUUCCUCCACUAACCUCUUCUUAGGACAAUGCAAAAUUUGACAUUUCAGGCAAGGGCCCUGACAUCCUGGAAGACUGCUAGGGUUUGUCUAGUGCUGCUUGUUCAGAGUGACAGGAUCCUCUCCAGAGUCCCAAGGCUGACCCCAUACUCUGUGCUUUUCAUGAAGUAAGUUGGAAUUGUUGCCCUCCUUCCUCUUUUCUAGAAACACCCCACCAUGAACUUGGAAGGGGAAGCAGCCUUUGUGUCUGUAAGGUUCUCAGGGAUGACUUGGUAGUAAACGAACGUAUGGCUGCUUGCUGUCAUUUUCUACUGCUCCAGUUUGCAGACGCUUCUCUGGAGAGUUACUCAUGCUUCAUCCUUUCUUCUGACAGUUUGAAUAAACCGUCUGAUGUGGCUUAUUACUCAUCUUCUUUAUGUAUAUAAUAAUAGAAUAUGUGUCAAUUAAAAAAUAUUUAGUUUUC